UACGGGGGGGGCAAGCGUUGUUCGGAAUUACUGGGCGUAAAGGCUCGUAGGUGGCCAACUAAGUCAGACGUGAAAUCCCUCGGCUUAACCGGGGGAACUGCGUCUGAUACUGGAUGGCUAGAGUUUGGGAGAGGGAUGCGGAAUUCCAGGUGUGAGCGGUGAAAUGCGUAGAUAUCUGGAGGAACACCGGUGGCGAAGGCGGCAUCCUGGACCAACACUGACGCUGAGGAGCGAAAGCCAGGGGAGCAAACGGG
This 254-nucleotide ribosomal RNA is filed under the name uncultured bacterium. RNAcentral's name for it is "partial 16S ribosomal RNA". It matches the Rfam family "Bacterial small subunit ribosomal RNA", at positions 524 to 776 of the family's 1533-position model. The record is from RNAcentral.